This 253-nucleotide ribosomal RNA is filed under the name uncultured bacterium. Its description in RNAcentral is "partial 16S ribosomal RNA". It matches the Rfam family "Bacterial small subunit ribosomal RNA", at positions 524 to 776 of the family's 1533-position model. The record is from RNAcentral.
UACGAACUGUGCAAACGUUAUUCGGAUUCACUGGGUUUAAAGGGUGCGUAGGUGGGCAAGUAAGUCAGUGGUGAAAUCUCCGGGCUUAACCCGGAAACUGCCAUUGAUACUAUUUGUCUUGAAUACUGUGGAGGUCAGCGGAAUAUGUCAUGUAGCGGUGAAAUGCUUAGAUAUGACAUAGAACACCAAUUGCGAAGGCAGCUGGCUACACAAAUAUUGACACUGAGGCACGAAAGCGUGGGGAUCAAACAGG